Molecule: non-coding RNA, 371 nt
Organism: Lupinus albus (white lupine)
Lineage: Eukaryota; Viridiplantae; Streptophyta; Magnoliopsida; Fabales; Fabaceae
Source: the annotation of a GenBank genome assembly
AUCUUUGCGCUUGGGGCAAUGACGCAGCUAAUGAGGUUCUAACCGAGGCGCGUCUAUUGCUGGUUGAAAACUAUUUCCAAACCCCCUCUUAGGCCUGGGUUCAGCCUUGGCCUUCGAGAAUUUCUGGAAGGGCUCCCUUCGGGGUAAAGCCCUACAAUUUAGUUCAAAAAUUUAUUGUUUUCUAUGGUAAUUUUGUAUUGUCCCUUUCAUGAUAAAUAUGUAUGUGUGGAUUGUGGAUCAGUGUGAUACUUCCCGUUCAUCAGACUUUUUGAAUGAAGGUCUAAGGUUAGAUUAAAAACGGGGUUUACCAACCAAAGUUCAGAGAUUAAAAUUAGAAGGGUGGAAGUGAUAUUGCUCACGAAAUAUAUACU